GCCUUCGUGGUGUAGUGGUCAGCACGCUGGAUGCUUAACAGAGAAGUCUGUGGUUCGAUUCCCGGCGAGGGCG
Molecule: transfer RNA, 73 nt
Filed under: Stegodyphus mimosarum
Lineage: Eukaryota; Metazoa; Arthropoda; Arachnida; Araneae; Eresidae
Rfam family: tRNA
About the family: Transfer RNA (tRNA) molecules are approximately 80 nucleotides in length. Their secondary structure includes four short double-helical elements and three loops (D, anti-codon, and T loops). Further hydrogen bonds mediate the characteristic L-shaped molecular structure. tRNAs have two regions of fundamental functional importance: the anti-codon, which is responsible for specific mRNA codon recognition, and the 3' end, to which the tRNAs corresponding amino acid is attached (by aminoacyl-tRNA synthetases). tRNAs cope with the degeneracy of the genetic code in two manners: having more than one tRNA (with a specific anti-codon) for a particular amino acid; and 'wobble' base-pairing, i.e. permitting non-standard base-pairing at the 3rd anti-codon position.
Source: Rfam by way of RNAcentral